UACGUAGGUGGCAAGCGUUGUCCGGAUUUACUGGGCGUAAAGAGCGCGUAGGCGGCUCGGUAAGUGUGAAGUGAAAUCUCUAGGGCUCAACCCAGAAACUGCUUUACAUACUGUCGAGCUGGAGUGAUGAAGAGGUUUGUGGAAUUCCUGGUGUAGCGGUGAAAUGCGUUGAUAUCAGGAGGAACACCCAUGGCGAAGGCAGCAAACUGGUCAUCAACUGACGCUGAGGCGCGAAAGCGUGGGUAGCAAACAGG
This 254-nucleotide ribosomal RNA is filed under the name uncultured bacterium. Its description in RNAcentral is "partial 16S ribosomal RNA". It matches the Rfam family "Bacterial small subunit ribosomal RNA", at positions 524 to 776 of the family's 1533-position model. The record is from RNAcentral.